This is a long non-coding RNA of Lotus japonicus, 2335 nucleotides long. RefSeq lists it as uncharacterized. NCBI's taxonomy places the organism in Eukaryota, Viridiplantae, Streptophyta, Magnoliopsida, Fabales, Fabaceae. The transcript has 6 exons. The record is from RefSeq and is a predicted model, not a curated record.
CUUUAAUAAAAAAUCUCAUCCUCAAAUCACUACCUUCUCUCCCUCUCCUUCUUCCUUUUCCCCCAUUCUCAUCCGCUUUCAAACCUCACAUAGAGCUUCCAAUUUUUUUCCUUUUCGACCUCACCCACUUACAUCUCUGUGAGAUUCAUGCCAGAAACCGGCACCUAAGCCAUUUUCACCGUCACGCCGAACCUCACGCUAUUCUUACUGGUUUCUCUCUCAGAUCGUUGUUGUUUGUUCGCGUAUACAUCAGAGCAUGAAAUUUCCUCUCUCAAUCUCUCAUUCACGUUCCUACCUUUCUCAAUGUCUGAAGCUUCUCAGCCGUAGCACUCUUCGCCACUCCGAUCAUCGCAACCCGCAACCUCCCUCCGGCGACGAGACGACUCAGGUAUCUUCUUGAUGGCGUUUGUUCCCUAAUUUUCAUCUUCACAAGCACCCUGGCUGCCCUCAUCGCCAUCUCAGUUGUUCGACAAAAAUAUAAACCAAGUGUAAUGGUCGUAUCUGAUUCUUCUGCAGGUUAAGCAUGCUCGCAGGUGUUCGGGCUGGCUCUUCAAGUUAGAAAGCUGAAAGAAAUUAUGAGCAGUGAAGCCAAGUAAGGAAAGAAGGAUCUAAAUUCUAAGGUAAACUUUUUUAACGUGACAGGAAAAACAUUGGUAAUGUUUGCAUGUUGUUAACUCCAUAGUUCAUGGUAAUGCUUUGUUAAGUGUUCUAAUGGUGCUUAUUUGUUCAUACUAAAAUAUUGUUCAUACUUAUAUAUUUAAUUUUCAAUGUAUUUUUCAUGCAUGGAGCCAGUUACUUCUUAUUUCUUUUGUGGAUUAGGGUUUUUGGGUGGCGCAUGUGUGAGAUUGAUGCCACUUGGAGGAGGUAUGACACCUGAGAGGUCGUGGAUAGUGAUGGUUUUCUAUGAUACUUAUUAAGGUUGUCUUUUUUCUCCUCUAGGUUAUCCAUUCACUUAUCAUAUGUGACUAUUGAAGAAGGCCAAGCUUCACAUGGAGAAGCAUUAACCAGGCAGCAUGGCUACUGAAGAAAGAGGGCCUCUGGCGUAUUGGAAGUGAGCAGUCUGUACACAUUUGGGAGGACAACUGGCUGUUGGGACAAAAUGGUUACAGAAUAUGGAGUCCAAGACCAGCAGAUGGAGAAAUCAAAUUUGUGCAACAGUUGAUUCAAGAGAACCCCAGAAGAUGGAAUGUUCAGUGUCUAAGAAGGUACUUUCUCUCCAGCAAAUUCCUCUUUUAGAGCUCUAUCAGAGAGAUAAGUUCAUGUAGGGACCAGCAAAAAAUGGAAUUUAUAGAGUGAAAUCGGGGUACUACCACACCAAAAAAAGGGAGACAAACCAGCAUGGAAGUGUUUCAAACUUGACAAGCAGCUCAGAAUUGUACAAACAAGUGUGGAAUCUUAAAAUCAUGCCUAGACAAGCACAGUUUGUUUGGAGAGUUAUGAAAAAAACUCUUCCUGUUAAAUCCAAACUCAGAAACAAAGGGGUUCCGUGCGACAUGGUGUGCCCGAGGUGUAAUGAAGAAGAAGAAGAAAUUAUAGAUCAUGCUCUCAGGGACUGCAUUUGGGUUAGAAGACUGUGGUUCACUUCCCCCUUGGGAAUCAGGUUUGAGCAGUUUGGAACAAUCUCCUUCAUUUAUUGGCUCACAUAUAUUUUGUUAAAAAAACCUCAAGAAAUUAAAGAACUUAUUUAUGUCAUGACUCACCAAAUCUGGUUUGCAAGGAAUAAACUGUGCUUUGAUGAUAAAGAGAUAGAAUUGAUUUGUGUGAUUAGGAGAGCUGUAUCUGGUUUUCAGGAAUACCAACAAGGUCUGUGACGUCAAGAUAUCAAUGGAGGUGAUAUACAAUUUCCCCUAAGGAACCAAAAUGAUCCUACUGCUGUUCCCUUGCAACCAAAAUGGAAACCACCACCAGUGGGAGUCUAUAAGCUGAAUGUGGAUGUGGCUGGUCCUGUUGACAACAAAUGGGGUGCUGGUAUAAUUAUUAGAGAUGAACAGGGGAAGGUGUAUGGCUGCUGCAACCAGAUGUUUCUCAUCAAUACAGGAUGCGGCAACUGCUAAGGCUUUGGGACUGCGAUUUGCGGUGGAAACUGGUUUCAGAAAUCUGGAAACUGAAAUGGAUUGCUUAGAGGUGGUGCAUUCCUUUAACAACUCCAACAACAGAAGCUCUCAUUCCUAUCUUAGUGCUGUUUUGGAUGAUUGUAAACAUUUAAAAACCUGUUUCCUCUUCUUUUGUUUAAAUCAUGUUAGUAGGAACCUUAACUCAGCUACUCAUUUUCUAGCUAAAUUCUCCUUAUCUCAUGUCAAUCAAGAGUGGAUAGAGGACACUCCCAGUUGUAUUA